GACGAACGCUGGCGGCGUGCCUAAUACAUGCAAGUAGAACGCACAGUCUAUACCGUAGCUUGCCACACCAUAGACUGUGAGUUGCGAAUGGGUGAUUAACGCGCAGGUAACCUGCCUGGUAGCGGUGCGUAACUACGGGAAACGAUAGCUAAUAUCGCUUAAUAUUAAUUAUUCCAUGAUAAUUAAUUGAAAUGUUCAAUCUCAUCACUACCAGCUGGACCCGCGUUGUAUUAGCUAGUAGGGGAGGUAACGGCUCACCUAGGCGAAGACACAUAGCCGACCUGGGAGGGGGGUCGGCCAAACUGGGACUGGAGAACGGCCCAGACUCCUACGGGGGGCAGCAGUAGGGGAUCUUCGGCAAAGGACGAAAGGCUGGCCGGGCAAAGCCGGGUGGGUGAAGAAAGUUUUCGGGUCGUAAAGAUCUGGUGUUAGGGAAAGAAGAAUGGGGGAAUGGAAUAUGCACGCUGUGACGGUACCUUACCAGAAAGGGACGGCUAACUACGUG
RNAcentral lists this ribosomal RNA (505 nucleotides) under uncultured bacterium. RNAcentral's name for it is "partial 16S ribosomal RNA". It matches the Rfam family "Bacterial small subunit ribosomal RNA", at positions 28 to 507 of the family's 1533-position model. The record is from RNAcentral.